CUACACAUGCAAGUCGAGCGAGAGAAAUUCCUUCGGGAAUGGAUCUAGCGGCGGACGGGUGAGUAACACGUGGGCAACCUGCCUCAAAGAGGGGGAUAGCCUCCCGAAAGGGAGAUUAAUACCGCAUAAAGUUAUUUUAUCGCAUGGUAAAAUAACCAAAGGAGAAAUCCACUUUGAGAUGGGCCCGCGGCGCAUUAGCUAGUUGGUAAGGUAACGGCUUACCAAGGCAGCGAUGCGUAGCCGACCUGAGAGGGUAAUCGGCCACAUUGGAACUGAGAGACGGUCCAGACUCCUACGGGAGGCAGCAGUGGGGAAUAUUGCACAAUGGGCGAAAGCCUGAUGCAGCAACGCCGCGUGGGUGAUGAAGGUUUUCGGAUUGUAAAGCCCUGUCUUUUGGGACGAUAAUGACGGUACCAAAGGAGGAAGCCACGGCUAACUACGUGCCAGCAGCCGCGGUAAUACGUAGGUGGCGAGCGUUGUCCGGAUUUACUGGGCGUAAAGGGUGCGUAGGCGGAUAUUUAAGUGGGAUGUGAAAACCCCGGGCUCAACCUGGGGACUGCAUUUCAAACUGGAUAUCUAGAGUGCAGGAGAGGAAAGCGGAAUUCCUAGUGUAGCGGUGGAAUGCGUAGAGAUUAGGAAGAACACCAGUGGCGAAGGCGGCUUUCUGGACUGUAACUGACGCUGAGGCACGAAAGCGUGGGUAGCAAACAGGAUUAGAUACCCUGGUAGUCCACGCCGU
Molecule: ribosomal RNA, 739 nt
Filed under: uncultured bacterium
Lineage: Bacteria
Description: bacterial SSU rRNA
Rfam family: Bacterial small subunit ribosomal RNA
Source: RNAcentral